AGUACGGUGUACAUUUUAGGACAUCGUCAGGUCUCAGAACACGAGCUGUCAGACAGAGAGAAAAUCUUCCUGCAGGUGGCGCUGUUGUCAUGUCCCACCAAUUACUGUAGUGACAGCUGCAGUCACGGAGAAACUUGCGUAUCUCUGUUCGGGAAUAGCAGAUAGAGCGUAGGCUCUGAGAGGAGGGCCAGUGUUUACGCUUCGAAAACACGACCGAGUGUUUUAACCUGACAUCCUGAGUUGUUCUUCAGUAAACUGGACUACCCGACAGAAGGACCCGAGGCCCCGCUGCACUGUUUCGGAGCUGCCCUCAGAUUCAGACCUCAACACCACCCAGUGACAGCAGACAGAUCAUCCAACAUGUUCACAUGUUAACUGCAAAAUGAACUGAUGAAAACAGUACAAAGGUUAGAGUACCACAUGUGCUGUAGUGAAAGCUGCAGCUGUUUUAUUGAUAAAGUUAAAGACAAAAAAACAAAAGGAUUAAUCACUCUUGUAACUGUGUCACUAUAUAUCAGCAUUAACAGGACCUCAGUUUGUAUCUCAGACCUGCACAGCUUCCGUUUUAAACACUUGAUGUACUCAGCUGCAUGAAGAGCAUAUGAGAUUUUGUCUAACACAAUUAAAUAAAACCUGAUGAAGGUCAAAGGUC
Non-coding RNA from Neolamprologus brichardi, 652 nucleotides. The record is from RefSeq and is a predicted model, not a curated record. NCBI's taxonomy places the organism in Eukaryota, Metazoa, Chordata, Actinopteri, Cichliformes, Cichlidae.